RNAcentral lists this ribosomal RNA (586 nucleotides) under Rhinella diptycha (Cururu toad). RNAcentral's name for it is "partial 16S ribosomal RNA". It matches the Rfam family "Bacterial large subunit ribosomal RNA", at positions 1821 to 2620 of the family's 2925-position model. Lineage: Eukaryota; Metazoa; Chordata; Amphibia; Anura; Bufonidae. The record is from RNAcentral.
CCUUCCCUUUAAAAAAAAGGUCCAGCCUGCCCAGUGACCAUGUUCAACGGCCGCGGUAUCCUAACCGUGCGAAGGUAGCGUAAUCACUUGUUCUUUAAAUGUGGACUAGUAUGAAUGGCACCACGAAGGUUAUACUGUCUCCUUUUUCUAAUCAGUGAAACUAAUCUCCCCGUGAAGAAGCGAGGAUACACCUAUAAGACGAGAAGACCCUAUGGAGCUUUAAACAACACAGCAAUUACCUGCUAAACUAAAAAGUUUCUGAACAUUUUAAUCUUUUAAGUAAUCUGACUGCAAGUUUUUGGUUGGGGUGACCACGGAGCAUAACACAACCUCCAUGUUGAAAGAAUUCUUUCUAAGCCAAGAACAACCUUUCUAAGCAUCAAUAUAUUGACAUCCAUUGACCCAAUACAUUUGACCAACGAACCAAGUUACCCUAGGGAUAACAGCGCAAUCCACUUCAAGAGCUCCUAUCGACAAGUGGGUUUACGACCUCGAUGUUGGAUCAGGGUAUCCCAGUGGUGCAGCCGCUACUAAAGGUUCGUUUGUUCAACGAUUAAAACCCUACGUGAUCUGAGUUCAGACCGGA